GUUUCCGUGGUGUAGUUUGUUAUGACUUCAGUCUAAGACACUGAAGGUCUCCAGUUUGAACCUGAAAGGAAACA
This is a non-coding RNA of Marchantia paleacea, 74 nucleotides long. The record is from the annotation of a GenBank genome assembly. Lineage: Eukaryota; Viridiplantae; Streptophyta; Marchantiopsida; Marchantiales; Marchantiaceae.